GUCAACUGGCUACUGUGCCAGCUGGUGAAUGGCUCGGCUCGAGAGCCGACGACGGACGUGCCAAGCUGCGAUAAGCCGUAGGGAGCCGCAUGGAGGCGAAGAACUACGGAUCUCCGAAUGGGAAUCCCUCUACAAUUGCUUCGCGCAAUGGGGAACGCUCCGAAUUGAAACAUCUCAGUAGGAGCAGGAAGAGAAAUCAAACCGAGAUGUCGUUACUAACGGCGAGUGAACGCGACACAGUCCAAACCGAAGCCCUCACGGGCAAUGUGGUGUUCGGGCUGAUAGCAAGCAGUUCGAGUUCGUGAGAAGUCUCCUGGAACGGAGCACGAUACAGGGCGACAGUCCCGUAUCACGAACGCGGCCUGCGGAUCAGUUCCCAGAGUAGCGGGGGUUGGAUAUCCCUCGUGAAUAUCUCAGGCAUCGACUGAGAAGACUAAACACUCCUCGAGACCGAUAGCGAACAAGUAGCGUGAGCGAACGCUGAAAAGCACCCCGAGAAGGGCGGUGCAAUAGGGCCUGAAAUCAGCUGGCGAUUGAGCGACGGGGCUUGAAAGGCCCCUCACAGAAUGACCGUGGGGCGACCCACCAGUAAGACGUGAGGGGAGCCGAAGUCGCGUCGUGCGUUUUGAAAAACGAACCAGGGAGUGUACUUCUCCGGCGAGUCUAACACGCGCAUCGUGGAAGGCGCAGGGAAACCGAUAUGGCCGCAGUCUUACGACGAGGGCCACCGUGUUCAAGCGCGGGGAGUCGAAGAGGUACGACCCGAAACCGAGUGAUCUACUCCGAGGCAGGAUGAAGCGUGCCGAAAGGCACGUGGAGGUCCGUUAGCGUUGGUGUCCUACAAUACCCUCGCGUGAUCUUGGAGUAGGGGUGAAAGGCCCAUCGAACUCGGCAACAGCUGGUUCCGACCGAAACAUGUCGAAGCAUGACCUCUCCCGAGGUAGUUCGUGCGGUAGAGCCACCGAUUGAGAGACCCGCCUCCGAGAGGAGUCGGCCUCUCUGUCGAACUCCGAACGUACGAACGCUGUCGACGGAGGGAGUCCGGUGUCCCGGGGUAAGCUUGGGCACCGUGAGGGGAACAACCCAGAGUUAGGUUAAUGACCCAAAAUGUGGAUUAAGUGUAAUCCUCUGAAGGUAGUCUUGAGCCCUAAACAGCCGGGAGGUGAGCUUAGAAGCAGCUACCCGCUAAGAAAAGCGUAACAGCUUACCGGCCGAGGUUCAAGGCGCCCAAAAUGAUCGGGACUCAAAUCCACUUCUGAUACCUAACCGUCCCUGUAAGAAGGGAACCGUGUAGGUCGGCGUACUGUACGGAUGGAAGCUCGGGCGAGAGCUCGCGUGGACCGUUCAGUAACGACAAUCCUGGUCACAGUAGCAGCGAUAUUCGGGUGCGAACCCCGAAGGUCUGAAGGGUAAGAGUUCCUCGGCACUGCCAAUCAGCCGAGGGUUAGCCGAUCCUAAGUCCGGCCGUAAGUCGAACCGGACAAACGGGGAACUGGUUAAUAUUCCAGUGCCACCACGCACUGAAAGUCGACGCUUUGGGAACUGGUGAGCCGGGCGUUCGCCCGGUCGAAUCAGGGAAUCCCGUGGAAGCCGUAACGGCACGAAGCGAGAGAAGCCUGAGACAGCGCAAGUCACCACUACCUAGAGCCCGUGAAAAGACGAGCGUGGUGUUCGUAUCGAGAUCCGACACAGGUACCCUGGCAGAGCAAGCCAAGACCGACGGGAACAACCGACGUUAGGGAAUUCGGCAAGUUAGUCCCGUACGUUCGCAAUAAGGGAUGCCUGCCUUUCGCGAGGCAGGUCGCAGUGACUCGGUGGCUCCGACUGUCUAGUAACAACACAGGUGACCGCAAAUCCGCAAGGACUCGUACGGUCACUGAAUCCUGCCCAGUGCAGGUAUCUGAACACCUCGUACAAGAGGACGAAGGACCUGUCAACGGCGGGGGUAACUAUGACCCUCUUAAGGUAGCGUAGUACCUUGUCGCUUCAGUAGCGACUCGCAUGAAUGGAUCAACGAGAGCCACACUGUCCCAACGUGGGGCCCCGGUGAACUGUACGUUCCAGUGCGGAGUCUGGACCCCCAAGGGGAAGCGAAGACCCUAUAGAGCUUUACUGCAGGCUGUCGCUGAGACGUGGCCGCUGACGUGCAGGAUAGGUAGGAGUCAGUACACAGGUACCCGCGCUAGCGGGCCACCGAGACAUCACUGAAAUACUACCCGUCAGUGGCUGCGACUCUCACUCCGGGAGGAGAACACCGGUAGCCGGGCAGUUUGACUGGGGCGGUACGCGCUCGAAAAGAUAUCGAGCGCGCCCCAAGAUUUCCUCACGCGGGACAGGAACCCGCGGAAGAGCGCAAGAGCACAAGGAAGUCUGACAGUGUCAUUCCAAGCGAGUGACGCUGACGCGAAAGCGUGGUCUAGCGAACGGAUCACGGGCCUCAAUGGCCCGGAUUUACGACAGAAAAGCUACCUUAGGGAUAACAGAGUCGUCACGCGCAAGAGCACAUAUCGACCGCGUGGCUUGCUACCUCGAUGUCGGUUCCCUCCAUCCUGCCCGUGCAGAAGCGGGCAAGGGUGAGGUUGUUCGCCUAUUAAAGGAGGUCGUGAGCUGGGUUUAGACCGUCGUGAGACAGGUCGGCUGCUAUCUAUUGGGGGUGUUACGGUACUUGACGGGAACGGUCGUAUAGUACGAGAGGAACUACGACUGGUUGCCACUGGUGUAUCGGUUGUCCGAAAGGGCAGCUGCCGAGAAGCUACGCAACACGGGGUAAGAGCUGAACGCAUCUAAGCUCGAAACCCACCUGAAAAAGAAGUACCACCGAGACCACUCGUAGAAGACGAGUUCGAUAGACUCGGGAUGUACGCGCCGAGGCAACGAGGCGUUCAGUCCACGAGCACUAACAGGUCAAGCCACACUCAUA
RNAcentral lists this ribosomal RNA (2920 nucleotides) under Halobaculum magnesiiphilum. Its description in RNAcentral is "23S ribosomal RNA". It matches the Rfam family "Archaeal large subunit ribosomal RNA". Lineage: Archaea; Methanobacteriati; Methanobacteriota; Halobacteria; Halobacteriales; Haloferacaceae. The record is from RNAcentral.